This 499-nucleotide ribosomal RNA is filed under the name uncultured bacterium. RNAcentral describes it as "bacterial SSU rRNA". It matches the Rfam family "Bacterial small subunit ribosomal RNA", at positions 28 to 507 of the family's 1533-position model. The record is from RNAcentral.
GGCUAACGCUGGCGGCGUGUCUUAGCCAUGCAAGUCGAGCGGACUUAUGGGGUAACUUAUAAGUCAGCGGCGGACGGCGGAGUAACACGUAGCUAACCUACCCUCUGGACGGGGAUAACCUACCGAAAGGUGGGCUAAUACCCGAUGUAGUCAUCCUGUAUAGGGGUGAUGAAAGGUGGGCUUCUGUUUACAAGCUCAUGCUGGAGGAGGGGGCUGCGGCCUAUCAGGUAGUUGGUAGGGUAAUAGCCUACCAAGCCGAUGACGGGUAGCCGGCCUGAGAGGGUGACCGGCCCGAGGGGCACUGAGAUACGGGUCCCACUCCUACGGGAGGCAGCAGGCUAGAAAUUUGGGCAAGUGGGGGAAACCCUGACCCAGUGACGCCGCGUGCAGGAAGGAGCCCUUCGGGGUGUAAACUGCUGUCGUGUAGGGAGAAGGGUACUAAGGUGAACAAUCUUAGUACUUGACGGUACUACAGGAGGAAGCCCAGGCUAACCUCGUG